GCACUUACAUGGCAAGGGAGAUACUAUCAUUAUCAAGGUGCUUUUCCCAGGGUGAAGUUCAUCUAUGGCAUGCCAGGUGUGCUGACCCCUGUGACUUCUCCAAAUGCUGGAAACUCGACUGCAUAAUUUGUGGUAGUUGGGACUGCAAUUGCACUUUCUCC
Small nuclear RNA from Choloepus hoffmanni (Hoffmann's two-fingered sloth), 161 nucleotides. Its record names the gene U1. It matches the Rfam family "U1 spliceosomal RNA". Rfam says of the family: U1 is a small nuclear RNA (snRNA) component of the spliceosome (involved in pre-mRNA splicing). Its 5' end forms complementary base pairs with the 5' splice junction, thus defining the 5' donor site of an intron. There are significant differences in sequence and secondary structure between metazoan and yeast U1 snRNAs, the latter being much longer (568 nucleotides as compared to 164 nucleotides in human). The record is from Ensembl. NCBI's taxonomy places the organism in Eukaryota, Metazoa, Chordata, Mammalia, Pilosa, Megalonychidae.